AAAACUGUUAUACGAUGGAAAAAAAAAGUCGAUCAUUGAAAGAAGAGUCUAGGUUUCGAUGUUCCCAAUUUGGCGAGUUCAAAGGGGACUGAGAAGUUGAUUCGAGUUCUGUAGAUAUCAUUUGGAUUUAGAAGAUGAAACGCACAGAUUAAUCAAGACAAUCAAGGUUAAUUGUUCGGUUGAUGAAUCGUGAAAUGAAGACGUAAAAGAAGAAAAAGUAGACAUGGAAACAUCCAUUGAAGAAACACUCAAUAGUCUCAGUUGAUGUGUAUUUUCGAUGGUUCUGUUUUUAUGUUCGAGAGAGAGAGAUAAGAGCAGAUCCAGCUACAAAAGGGCUCGGAAACAGACGUGAAAAGAAAAAGAAGCUAAGAAGAUCUCAGCCUUACCAGCGAAGGGGUUACAGACCGAUUUGGCGAGUUAGAGGGAGAAGUUCACUCGACUUCUGGAGAUAUCAUUUGGAUGUAGAAGAUGGAACGCACGGAUUAAUCAACACAAUCAAGGUUAAUAGUUUGGUUGAUGAAUCAUUAAAUGAAGACAUAGAAGAAGAAAAAGUAGACAUGGAUACAUCAAUUGAAGAAAGACACAUUCUCUCAGUGCAGAUUCAUCACUACGAAUGGUUCGGUUUUUGUGUUCGAGAGAGAGAUAAGAGGAGAUCCAGCUACAAAAGGGCGAAGAAACAGAUGUCAGCAUAAAAAAGAUAAGUCAUCUUUUCAUCAUAUUUGUAAAUUUCAUUUGAGUAAAUUAUUGGUUGAAAUAAGUAUUAUAGAAACUUGUAUUGAUCAUCAAGUUAGAUUGCUCACUGUUAUUUUAAAAAGAGAGACUUGUUGAAGUUUGUUUUGUUACCUUUAGUAGAUUGCAGUUGUUAAAAAGCAUGUAUCUCAUUUAGGUUGAUGUAUAGUUGUCACUGUUCUAGCACCACAAAAAAACCUGUUAUGUACAUAUGCUAUUAAGUCAAAGGGUAAUUGAUAUUAGUACGUAAUACAUGGAAGGUGUAAUUUUUUUUAUUUACUAUAACAGAAUAUAUGAUGUGCAGGUAAUCGUGAGAUCAGUUAUUUGAUUCUUGAACUGGGCAAUGAAGUGGAGAACAUAUCAUUUGAAAGGCAGUUUCAAGGUUAGUAAUUUGAUGAU
Molecule: long non-coding RNA, 1128 nt
Organism: Raphanus sativus (radish)
Lineage: Eukaryota; Viridiplantae; Streptophyta; Magnoliopsida; Brassicales; Brassicaceae
Exons: 3
Source: RefSeq, a predicted model, not a curated record